UGGGGAAUAUUGCACAAUGGGGGAAACCCUGAUGCAGCAACGCCGCGUGAAGGAAGACGGUUUUCGGAUUGUAAACUUCUGUUCUUAGUGAAGAAUAAUGACGGUAGCUAAGGAGCAAGCCACGGCUAACUACGUGCCAGCAGCCGCGGUAAUACGUAGGUGGCAAGCGUUGUCCGGAAUUACUGGGUGUAAAGGGAGCGCAGGCGGGAAGCCAAGUCAGCUGUGAAAACUACGGGCUUAACUUGUAGACUGCAGUUGAAACUGGUUUUCUUGAGUGAAGUAGAGGUUGGCGGAAUUCCGAGU
RNAcentral lists this ribosomal RNA (303 nucleotides) under uncultured bacterium. RNAcentral describes it as "bacterial SSU rRNA". It matches the Rfam family "Bacterial small subunit ribosomal RNA", at positions 355 to 674 of the family's 1533-position model. The record is from RNAcentral.